GAGGAAAGAGGGAGGUGUGAAUAAUACAUGCAAGUCGAGCGAACAGAUGAGGAGCUUGCUCCUCUGACGUUAGCGGCGGACGGGUGAGUAACACGUGGAUAACCUACCUAUAAGACUGGGAUAACUUCGGGAAACCGGAGCUAAUACCGGAUAAUAUAUUGAACCGCAUGGUUCAAUAGUGAAAGACGGUUUUGCUGUCACUUAUAGAUGGAUCCGCGCCGCAUUAGCUAGUUGGUAAGGUAACGGCUUACCAAGGCAACGAUGCGUAGCCGACCUGAGAGGGUGAUCGGCCACACUGGAACUGAGACACGGUCCAGACUCCUACGGGAGGCAGCAGUAGGGAAUCUUCCGCAAUGGGCGAAAGCCUGACGGAGCAACGCCGCGUGAGUGAUGAAGGUCUUCGGAUCGUAAAACUCUGUUAUUAGGGAAGAACAAAUGUGUAAGUAACUAUGCACGUCUUGACGGUACCUAAUCAGAAAGCCACGGCUAACUACGUG
This 497-nucleotide ribosomal RNA is filed under the name uncultured bacterium. Its description in RNAcentral is "partial 16S ribosomal RNA". It matches the Rfam family "Bacterial small subunit ribosomal RNA", at positions 28 to 507 of the family's 1533-position model. The record is from RNAcentral.